Molecule: long non-coding RNA, 6308 nt
Filed under: Homo sapiens (human)
Lineage: Eukaryota; Metazoa; Chordata; Mammalia; Primates; Hominidae
Description: HSALNT0083148
Source: RNAcentral
AGGGCCUCCCCGGGUGGGUGCCCCAUUCCGAUCCGCUGCCCCUGAGAGGUGGGCCUUGGGAGAGGCAGGGCUUGGACGCCCUUCCUCGGGGCAGCGGGGUGCAGGGAGAGUUCUUCUGGCUGUGAGUCCCGGAGUCCCCGACCCUGGCACCCCUUCAGCAAGGUUCUCAGGCACAUCUGCCGGGGGCGCUGAGGGGACCUGAGAUGGACGGGCCGGGAGGGAGGCUGAGGACGUGGCUGGCCUGGUCUGCCCCCAGCUGAGCCUCACCUGAGGGAGAGCUGGGGUGGGCCGCCUCGUUUACGACCGUGUAGUCGUCUUUUGCACACAAAGCCAUGUGAGUCCGUACGUGAGUCCUGUGGAAAGACAAGACAUGGAAUAGGAGUGACGUCCGUCCCCAGGCAUGAAGUGGAGAGCAUCACGCUGUGCCUGAGCUCCGGAUAUUUCUCCUGUUCUGGAGACAGUGAGAAGUGAAAGAGAAAUGGCUGCCCCUGCACCACUUACCGCGAAGGAGGCUCAAGGCUGGGGGGCCCCUCUGCCUUCCAGUGACCGCCCGUGUCACAUCCUGACCCGCUCAGCAGGAGAACACAGCAGGUCCCUCCGACCGCAGUCGGCCUCUCCAGCCUGCCAUGCCUCUGGCCAUGAGGCGACCCGCUGGAGUGAUGGAUUCCCGUCACUACCACCCACAGGGCGAGGGGGUGCAUUGGUCUGCUUGGGCCGCUGUAACAAAAUGCCACAGCCUGGAUGAGUGACUGACAUUGCUUCCCCACCGUUCUGGAGGCUGGAGGCCCGAGAUCGAGGUCCCUGACACUAUUUCAGUGAUGCCAGAGCCCAGGAGGAGUCGACCAAGCCCCAGCGUGGCCAUAAGCACCUUCGCAGGACCACGGAGUCGCUGCAGGUGUUCAGCCCUGUUGAGAGUGGGAGUCGGUGUCGAUGGUCACAGCUCAGUAACUCAUCGUCACCAGCGAGUACCACAGAGCAGACACAACUGCACUUCUCUGUAGAGCCUCCAGUCGAUACUGAGAGCCACUGGGGCGUCUGACACCCAAGGGUGCAGACAUUCACUCCAAGUCCAGAGACCGCGCCCUUUCUAAGGCCCUGUCUCACAGUCGCCCCGUGCUCAUUGUGCCGGAUGUUUCCACAGCCACAGAGACGGUGAGGUGCAGCCUAGUGCAUAUGACUGACAGAAACGUGAAGCCACAGUGGACGCCUGGAUGAGACACAGAUCACCUUCCAAAUCUGAGUGUGGCCUUGGGACCAACCAGGCAGCCAGGGAGAAGGCAGAGACCAGAGGGAACCCAGGUGCCCUCAAUCCCAGCCUCCUCUAUCCCAGCCUCCCAAUCCCAGCCUCCCCAAUCCCAGCCUCCUAAUCCCAGCCUCCUCCAUCCCAGGACCCCCACUCCCAGCCUCCCGAUCCCAGCUUCUCUGAUCCCAGCCUCCCCUAAAACCCAGACUCUAUGAAUCCCAGCCUCUGAGGUGGGAACUGUUAGUAACCCCACUCCAUGGACAAGAAAGCUGGGGCCUGGCGAGGCUAACAGACUAUCCUGAUGGUGUGAGGGAGGGAUCGGCCUCUGAGGGCUGCUUCCACCCAUCUCACCAGUGGCUGCAGGCUCCAGGCGCCACUUUCCUUGAGUCUAUGUUCUUUCCAAGCAUCCUGCAGCUCCAGAAGCUCUGGAGCCGCCAGCACUGAGAGAAGCGAUGGAGCUGCAUGCAGGGAAACUUUGUUGACAGCGGUGUCUGGAUGGACCAGCAGAGGGCACUCUCACCCACGGGGAAAAUCGUGCGCCCGGCCUCGUCCACCGCCAGAAGACGCCGCUACACAAUGGAGUCUCGCUCUGUCGACCAGGCUGGAGUGCAAUGGUGCGAUCUCGGCUCACUGCAAUCUCUGCCUCCCGGUGAGAGGUGAAGCCAGCUGGACUUCCUGGGUCUAGUGGGGACUUGGAGAACUUUUCUGUCUAGCUAAAGAUUUGUAAAUGCACCAAUCAGUGCUGUGUCUAGCUAAAGUUUGUAAACGUACCAAUCAGCACUCUGUAAAAAUGGGCCAAUCAGCACUCUGUAAAAUGGACCAAUCAGCACUCUGUAAAAUGGACCAGUCAGCAGGAUGUGGGCGGGGUCAAAUAAAGGAAUAAAAAGCUGGUAGCCGAGCCGGCAGUGGCAAACCGUUUGGGUCCUUCUCGGUACCCUGGUGGCUUUGUUGUUUUGCUCUUUGCAAUAGAUCUUGUUGCCGCUUGCUCUUUGGGGCCUCACUGCCUUUAUGAGCUAUAACACUCCCCGCAGAGGUCUGCAGCUUCAUUCUUGAAGCCAGCGAGACCACGAACCCACUGGGAGGAACCAACAACUCCAAACGCGCCACCUGUAAGAGCUGUAACACUCCCUGUGAAGGUCUGUGGCUUCACUCCUGAAGUCAGCGAGACCAGGAACCCACCGGAAGGAACUCCGGACACAAAGAACUGCAACACUCACCCGAGGGUCUGUGGCUUCAUUCUUGAAGUCAGUGAGAUUAAGAACCCACCGGAAGGAACCAGUUCCGGACGUGCCGAGUUCAAGCAAUUGUCCUGCCUCAGUCUCCGGAGUAACUGGGAUUACAGGUGCACGCUGCCAUGCCCAGCUAAUUUGUAUUUUAGUAGAGUCGAGGUUUCACCGCGUUGCCCAGGCUGGUCUCGAAUUCCUGAGCUUGGGCAACCCACUCACCUCGGCCUCCCAAAGUGCUAGGAUUACAGGCGUGAGCCACCAGGCCGGGCCCGUAUGGUGGUUUCUACUCCGGACUGACUCUCCCGGGUCUUGGUCACUCUGCAGAAUCCUGGACCGGAAGGGGGCCUCGGCCAGGGGAGGGCUUGCGAGGAGCCCCGGACCUACUGGCCAUUAUAGGGUGACGGGAAGUUCCUUGCAUCCCGGGAUCCCAUGGCACUUGGUCAGGGAAGCCUCCCCAGAGAGGCCCAACUCCCCAGAUCCAGGUGGGGAAUCAGGGUACCAGCCAGGCAGUGUUCCCACCCCAGCCAUGCUGCUGGCUUCCGUCCCUGUGGUGGGGUCACCCAGGUGGCUCAUGCCUCCACGCACAGCCUUGUGGACACCCCCACACCGCCCAUAGUCAAGUCAGAGCUCACGAGCCCACAGGGCAGAUACCCGCCACGAGGGGACGGUGGGCCAGGAGGGUCCUCUGUGGGCAGCGCCGUGUUCCUGAUCUCCCCAGGCUGCUGGGGGAUGGGGUGGGGCAGAGGAGGCCACCUUCCCAUUUCCCACUUUGCUGGGUCUCCCUCUUUGCUGGACAGUGCUGGGGCAGGUUACACACCCAUGACAGUGUGAGGACUGAGGGUGCGCGUCCUGGAGCCUUCAGGGCUUGGGUGGAGGGGGCAGCUUGUCCCCCUGAGGCCUGGGCCAGAGAUCCCAUUCUGAAUGCGGAGAGCCAAGAUUCUACCUGGAUCCUGGCCUUGUGGGUCACUGUGACGGCCCAGAGCUGACUUUAUGUGACAGUUUGUCCUGAGAUUUAAAACUGAAUAUUUAGACUCGUGGGAUCUGGGCAUCCACUUCAACCAAGGAUGGGGACAGGCAGCAGGGUGGAGGGUGGACGAUGCAGGAAGAUGCUGUAGGACCAAGAACAAGGGGGCUGUGAGGCAAAGGAGCAGCACGAGGAGCCGUGUGUGCCCACUGCCACUUGCAGCCUCAUUUCUCAACCCGACUGUGAUGACUGCCGCUUGCUGGAAAGAUGCUCUGAAGACACAAUGAACUGACAAUGCGUCACCCCGACUCCUGCCUGAGCCACUCCAUUCCUUAAAGACGGUACGUGACUCACGUCCUUGCUGUGUCCUGCACGAGAUAAGGUCUGGCAGGGUUGGUAAUUAUGCCUCUGGGAUCUGUAACCAGACAUUCUCUGUAACCAUUCUGUAUAAUCUGGACGUUCUCUGUAAUCCAGAUGUUCUGUGUAAACUGAAGUUCUCUGUAAUUGGACUUUCUCUAUAACCAGUUGUCCUCUGUAACCUUCUCUAUAAUCCAGAUGUUCUUUGCAACCAGAUAUUCUCUCUAACCAGACAUUCUGUAUAAUCCAGACAUUCUCUGUAACCAGAUGUUUUCUAUAAUCCAGAUUUUUUUUUUUUUUUGAGACAGUUGCACUCUUUUUGCCCAGGCUGGAGUGCAAUGGUGAGAUCUUGGCUCCCUGCAACCUCCACCUCCCAGGUUCAAGCGAUUCUCCUGCUUCAACCUCCCUAGUAGCUGAGAUUACAGGCAUGCACCACCAUGCUUAGCUAAUUUUGUAUUUUUAGUAGAGACGGGGUUUCUUCAUGUUGGUCAGACUGCUCUCAAACUCCUGACCUCAGGUGAUCCGCCCACCUCGGCCUCCCAAAGUGCUGGGAUGACAGACGUGAGCCACCGCACCCGGCCCUGGAUGUUCUUUUUAAUCCAGAUAUUCUCUGUAAUCCAGACGUUCUCUACAACCAGACAUUCUCUGUAAUCGGACAUUCAGUACAAUCCAGGCUUUCUCCGUAACCAGACGUUCUCUAUAAUCCAGACGUUCUCUGUAACCCACACGCAGCUCCGUGUGACUCUGCUCUUCCGUGACUUCUGCGUCUAUAAUCCAGACGUUCUCUGUAACCCACGUGCAGCUCCGUGUGACCCUGCUCUUCCGUGACUUCUGCGUCUAUAAUCCAGACGUUCUCUGUAACCCACUGCAGCUCCGUGUGACUCUGCUCUUCCGUGACUUCUGCGUCUAUAAUCCAGACGUUCUCUGUAACCCACUGCAGCUCCGUGUGACUCUGCUCUUCCGUGACUUCUGCAUCUAUAAUCCAGACGUUCUCUGUAACCCACUGCAGCUCCGUGUGACUCUGCUCUUCCGUGACUUCUGCGUCUAUAAUCCAGACGUUCUCUGUAACCCACUGCAGCUCCGUGUGACUCUGCUCUUCCGUGACUUCUGCGUCUAUAAUCCAGACGUUCUCUGUAACCCACUGCAGCUCCGUGUGACUCUGCUCUUCCGUGACUUCUGCGUCUAUAAUCCAGACGUUCUCUGUAACCCACUGCAGCUCCGUGUGACUCUGCUCUUCCGUGACUUCUGUGCACAUUUCGAGCUGCAUCACCAGAGCUGUGCCAGGAGCUGGGACUGUUCCGCAGCAGCCUGACCAUGUGCCUCUGAAAGACCCCUCCCGGGCUGCAGUGCUCAGAAAAACUUCCAAAUAAGAUGAACUUCCCUUAUUUAAAAGCUUGACUCCUUUUUUAGUGGACAGGGCUAUGAGCUGAGGGACACGAGACGUCCAGGACAGGAGGGCCGGCCUUGUCUCAGGCCCUGCUCCCUCACCAAAGGCUCUGUGCUCUGUUCUCCUUCUGAGCCAGCUGUCCUGAAACGGAGGCCCUUUUGUGACCCGACUUGGUCUGUUGGCGGGGGACAGACACCAAGGCCAUGUCUCACACCGGUCAUGGCCAGCCCCCGGCCCUCCUUCCCUCCUCCCCUCCUUCCCUGCUGUAGCCUUUAGGGUUCAGACCCUGGCUGUCCUGUCCUCAUUGGGGCUGAUGCCCUGCCAUGCCCCCCAGGAGCCCCCGUGCUCGGCAGGCUUGGGCUGGGAGGCGCAGUCUCCAGUCUCCAGCAGACACCACCUUACCCAGGUACAUGGCACUUUCCUCAUUAGGGUGACAUUUUCCUCAUCAGUGAGGCUCUCGCCUCCUGAGUUGCACCACCCCUGCGCCAGCGUGGUUGGUCUCCAGAGUCAUACAUGAGCAUGGCGGGCUUGCCUCCAGGAACCAGAGGGUCCUCUGGGGGUUGGGGCACAAGGGGCCGCCCUGACCUCCCCAGACCCUAAUGCGAUUCCCACAGCUCUCGUCCACGAAGCACCAGGCCUCGGCCACGUUUCUAAUCUCGUGAUCCCUCCUGGAAAUCCCAGACAUGACAGAUCCCAACGGGGUGAUGCUUGCAUCACUGAACCAACCCCAGGACACCGGAGAGCUGGCCGUGUGGGGAACCCGUGGAUCCACCUGGGCCCUGGAGCUGGGGAUGUUGGUAGUGUGCGGGGAGGCGGCAAGGCAAGACGGGCAGGAGGAGGCAGCUCUGUCCAGGGCCCAGGCGUCCCUCACGCCGUUUCCAGGCACCCGCAGACUUCAGGAGUCUUAGUCAUCGUUGGGUGUUUGGGGCUCUCUAGUCCCAGUAGGUGCUGGGACUCUCAAACCUCACAGCUACCACCCUGGUGCUAUCGUUACGGACGAUCGCACUUUUGAGAAAAUUGGGCACCGUUGCCAGAGCAGCAGUUAGGCCUCAAGCCAACUAGGCUCCAGAGCGCCUGCCGCCAACCAUCAUACCACAGGGCACGGUCUCGGAUAUUAAACGUCUGGUUGGA